This 253-nucleotide ribosomal RNA is filed under the name uncultured bacterium. Its description in RNAcentral is "partial 16S ribosomal RNA". It matches the Rfam family "Bacterial small subunit ribosomal RNA", at positions 524 to 776 of the family's 1533-position model. The record is from RNAcentral.
UACGAAGGGUGCAAGCGUUAAUCGGAAUUACUGGGCGUAAAGCGUGCGUAGGCGGUUGUUUAAGUCUGCUGUGAAAGCCCCGGGCUCAACCUGGGAAUAGCAGUGGAUACUGGACAGCUAGAGUGUGAUAGAGGAUGGCGGAAUUCCCGGAGUAGCGGUGAAAUGCGUAGAGAUCGGGAGGAACAUCAGUGGCGAAGGCGGCCAUCUGGAUCAACACUGACGCUGAGGCACGAAAGCGUGGGGAGCAAACAGG